UCUUAGCUUGCUAAGGCCGAUGGCGACUGGCGCACGGGUGAGUAACACGUAUCCCACUUGCCGAUAACUCGGGGAUAGCCUUUCGAAAGAAAGAUUAAUACCCGAUGGCAUAAUAGAACCGCAUGGUUUGAUUAUUAAAGAAUUUCGGUUAUCGAUGGGGAUGCGUUCCAUUAGGCAGUUGGUGGGGUAACGGCCCACCAAACCUUCGAUGGAUAGGGGUUCUGAGAGGAAGGUCCCCCACAUUGGAACUGAGACACGGUCCAAACUCCUACGGGAGGCAGCAGUGAGGAAUAUUGGUCAAUGGACGAGAGUCUGAACCAGCCAAGUAGCGUGAAGGAUGACUGCCCUAUGGGUUGUAAACUUCUUUUAUAUGGGAAUAAAGUGGUCCACGUGUGGAUUUUUGUAUGUACCAUAUGAAUAAGGAUCGGCUAACUCCGUGCCAGCAGCCGCGGUAAUACGGAGGAUCCGAGCGUUAUCCGGAUUUAUUGGGUUUAAAGGGAGCGUAGGUGGACAGUUAAGUCAGUUGUGAAAGUUUGCGGCUCAACCGUAAAAUUGCAGUUGAUACUGGCUGUCUUGAGUACAGUAGAGGUGGGCGGAAUUCGUGGUGUAGCGGUGAAAUGCUUAGAUAUCACGAAGAACUCCGAUUG
Molecule: ribosomal RNA, 647 nt
Filed under: uncultured Bacteroides sp.
Lineage: Bacteria; Pseudomonadati; Bacteroidota; Bacteroidia; Bacteroidales; Bacteroidaceae
Description: bacterial SSU rRNA
Rfam family: Bacterial small subunit ribosomal RNA
Source: RNAcentral